RNAcentral lists this small nuclear RNA (330 nucleotides) under Castor canadensis (American beaver). RNAcentral describes it as "7SK RNA (ENSCCNG00000030743.1)". It matches the Rfam family "7SK RNA". Rfam says of the family: 7SK was discovered as an abundant small nuclear RNA in the mid-70s but a possible function has only recently been suggested. Two independent studies have found that 7SK RNA binds the CDK9/cyclin T complex (known as elongation factor P-TEFb). Lineage: Eukaryota; Metazoa; Chordata; Mammalia; Rodentia; Castoridae. The record is from Rfam by way of RNAcentral.
GAAUGUAAGGGCAAUCUGGAUGCAACAUCUGAAUGCAACAUUUGAUACCACUGAUCAUUAGGGUUGCUUCAGCUGGUCUAGCUGGCUAGGGAGGUGUCCCCUUUCUCCCUCACCAUCCUAUGUGUGUCCUCCCAAAGCCGUGUGCUCAGUGGAUGAGGUGCAGGAGGACCAUUCUGCAGUCAAGGGUGCACGAGUAGCUCCACUCCCCUGCUAGAACCUCCAAACAAGCAUGCAGAUGACACCCAGACUGAGAUGGAGGCUGAGGGAUGGAAUUAGAAUGGAAGAUAUAACAUUACUAAUGAACCACAAACAGGAAGCGUGUUUGGUUGG